UCCACCAGUAGGUGUUUUGGCUGGAAUAAUCUGUGGCACCAUUGCAGGAAUUGCAUUGAUCGCCUGUGCAACAUUUCUACUGUACAAGAGAUUUAUCCUUCCAGUCAGACAAGGACAGACAGGACAAGCUGAGAGCAAGACUGAUUCAUCGGCAAUGUAUGACAAUGUUAUAUAUGCAACAAAGGAGCAAAACACCACAGUGGAACAGUCAUAUAUGG
Molecule: long non-coding RNA, 218 nt
Organism: Xenopus laevis (African clawed frog)
Lineage: Eukaryota; Metazoa; Chordata; Amphibia; Anura; Pipidae
Exons: 3
Source: RefSeq, a predicted model, not a curated record